UAACACAUCAGAGGAUAAUUCUUCAAACCAGUCGGUCGGAACAAACAGUAGCUCUGUCGCUAUUGCUAUCCUGGUGCCUUUUUUCGCUCUUAUAUUUGCUGGUUUUGGAUUUUAUCUAUAUAAACAAAGGACUGCACCUAAAACCCAGUACACUGGAUGCUCUGUACAUGAAAAUAACAAUGGUCAAGCAGCUUUUGAAAAUCCAAUGUACGACACCAAUGCAAAAACUGUGGAGGGGAAAGCAGUACGAUUUGACCCAAAUUUGAACACUGUUUGCACAAUGGUAUAAUGCUGGAGAACUCUUAUUUUUUUGAUUAUGAAACUGGAAAAAAAUGAGACAUACUGCUGUGCACUCUCCGGUUCUCCGCUACUAUUAAAGCACAUUUUUAGGAACACAAUGGGGGUCAUGGACACCCUAGGAGGAAAAAAGAAUGAAGAAGACUUACCGGAAAGAACUCAAUCUACACUUCAUGUGCGACAUGGGACGUUUUCCAGCAAGACGACUGCACUCUAUGAGUGCUUGAUUACAAUUUAUUUUCUUUUUUUUGAAAAGGAGAUUAAUCUAAACAAGAAACUUAUUUGCAUAUAUUGGAGGAGCAUCCACUAUCAGUAUUUACUGUGCUUUAUAAACUAUAUUAGAAGGUCUGGAAUUUAAAAAAAAAAUAAAACAGAAAAAAAAUACAAAAAAUAAAACAAAACAUGAUUAUAUGAUAGAAAAUUGCUAUAAUUACUGGAGACAUUAAGACAAAUUACAAGUAUUAAGUAAAGAACAUUUUCCUGCUUUGGCAACAUGAAUUAACAAAAGAAGUUCUCAUCCCCCCUUUGAUUUGGGUAUUCCAUUGUAUGUUUUUAAAACCGAGAACUGAUACUGGGUGUUUAAUUAUCUUCUAUUGCUAGAUGCCCAUAAUAUCCUGGGCACAUACUUGUGACACAUUUACAAACAUGUCUCAGAUAAAUUCCCUGGACAAUCUUAGCUUCUGUUUUGGUACACAAAGUUAAGCACUAGAUGAUGCUUUUACCACCUACUUUCCAAAAACUCACAGCCUCCAAUAGCAUGAGUUGUCCAGGGGAUUCCAACUCAGUGGUUUGUACUAAGAGAUAGGGAUUUAUGGAAUAUCCAGUUCCUUUACCACCUAAGAAUAGCCUAUUUUUCCACCCUGACUCGUUUGUAUUUUUCUACAAUAUCUGACUCACCAUUAGUGAGCUUUGUUCAUGAAACAAUGUUAACUGAUGUAUCCCAUGCUAUGCAUGUUCUGGUUAACAAUAUAUUUAGAGAAAGUUUUUUUUUUUUAAGGCAUAUCACAAGACAAGAUAAUAAUGACUGAAUAUCCUUAUACACUUCUAGGUAUAAAAUGCUUCCUACAAUAAAUUCCAACAGUCCACCUUUGCCAUUGACCACCCUUUUAUCUGGAGAGAACAGAAGUUCAGUCUGAGGCCUAAAAUGGUUAAGAUGUAGCCAGUAUUGUUUUUAUAUUUUAUUUUAAAAAUAGAGAUUAUUUCAGUAAUUUGUAUAUAUCAUCUAUACUAUUAAAUCAACACUACUUUUUUUGUAAUUUA
Molecule: long non-coding RNA, 1557 nt
Organism: Rana temporaria (common frog)
Lineage: Eukaryota; Metazoa; Chordata; Amphibia; Anura; Ranidae
Exons: 2
Source: RefSeq, a predicted model, not a curated record